UGAACGCUAGCUACAGGCUUAACACAUGCAAGUCGAGGGGCAGCAUGGUCUUAGCUUGCUAAGGCCGAUGGCGACCGGCGCACGGGUGAGUAACACGUAUCCAACCUGCCGUCUACUCUUGGACAGCCUUCUGAAAGGAAGAUUAAUACAAGAUGGCAUCAUGAGUCCGCAUGUUCACAUGAUUAAAGGUAUUCCGGUAGACGAUGGGGAUGCGUUCCAUUAGAUAGUAGGCGGGGUAACGGCCCACCUAGUCUUCGAUGGAUAGGGGUUCUGAGAGGAAGGUCCCCCACAUUGGAACUGAGACACGGUCCAAACUCCUACGGGAGGCAGCAGUGAGGAAUAUUGGUCAAUGGGCGAGAGCCUGAACCAGCCAAGUAGCGUGAAGGAUGACUGCCCUAUGGGUUGUAAACUUCUUUUAUAAAGGAAUAAAGUCGGGUAUGCAUACCCGUUUGCAUGUACUUUAUGAAUAAGGAUCGGCUAACUCCGUGCCAGCAGCCGCGGUAAUACGGAGGAUCCGAGCGUUAUCCGGAUUUAUUGGGUUUAAAGGGAGCGUAGAUGGAUGUUUAAGUCAGUUGUGAAAGUUUGCGGCUCAACCGUAAAAUUGCAGUUGAUACUGGAUAUCUUGAGUGCAGUUGAGGCAGGCGGAAUUCGUGGUGUAGCGGUGAAAUGCUUAGAUAUCACGAAGAACUCCGAUUGCGAAGGCAGCCUGCUAAGCUGCAACUGACAUUGAGGCUCGAAAGUGUGGGUAUCAAACAGGAUUAGAUACCCUGGUAGUCCACACGGUAAACGAUGAAUACUCGCUGUUUGCGAUAUACAGCAAGCGGCCAAGCGAAAGCGUUAAGUAUUCCACCUGGGGAGUACGCCGGCAACGGUGAAACUCAAAGGAAUUGACGGGGGCCCGCACAAGCGGAGGAACAUGUGGUUUAAUUCGAUGAUACGCGAGGAACCUUACCCGGGCUUAAAUUGCAGAUGAAUUACGGUGAAAGCCGUAAGCCGCAAGGCAUCUGUGAAGGUGCUGCAUGGUUGUCGUCAGCUCGUGCCGUGAGGUGUCGGCUUAAGUGCCAUAACGAGCGCAACCCUUGUUGUCAGUUACUAACAGGUUCCGCUGAGGACUCUGACAAGACUGCCAUCGUAAGAUGUGAGGAAGGUGGGGAUGACGUCAAAUCAGCACGGCCCUUACGUCCGGGGCUACACACGUGUUACAAUGGGGGGUACAGAGGGCCGCUACCACGCGAGUGGAUGCCAAUCCCAAAAACCUCUCUCAGUUCGGACUGGAGCCUGCAACCCGACUCCACGAAGCUGGAUUCGCUAGUAAUCGCGCAUCAGCCACGGCGCGGUGAAUACGUUCCCGGGCCUUGUACACACCGCCCGUCAAGCCAUGGGAGCCGGGGGUACCUGAAGUGCGUAACCGCGAGGAGCGCCCUAGGGUAAAACUGGU
Molecule: ribosomal RNA, 1438 nt
Filed under: uncultured organism
Description: 16S ribosomal RNA
Rfam family: Bacterial small subunit ribosomal RNA
Source: RNAcentral